GAAGGUAGGUCCUUCGGGUUCGGCGAUCAGGUCGCUGAUCCCAAGCCACCGCAGGCCGCUUUGGUCAAAAGCCACGGUGGUGAGCGCUGCGGAAACGCUGGGACGGUGAUCCCGGCAGGU
RNAcentral lists this non-coding RNA (120 nucleotides) under Bradyrhizobium erythrophlei. Lineage: Bacteria; Pseudomonadati; Pseudomonadota; Alphaproteobacteria; Hyphomicrobiales; Nitrobacteraceae. The record is from RNAcentral.